RNAcentral lists this ribosomal RNA (343 nucleotides) under Gonocephalus chamaeleontinus (chameleon forest dragon). RNAcentral describes it as "12S ribosomal RNA". It matches the Rfam family "Bacterial small subunit ribosomal RNA", at positions 851 to 1384 of the family's 1533-position model. The record is from RNAcentral. Lineage: Eukaryota; Metazoa; Chordata; Lepidosauria; Squamata; Agamidae.
GCCCUCUCAACAAAUUGCCUGCCAAAAAAGUACGGGUGAAAGCCUGAAACUUAAAGGACCUGGCGGUGCUUCACAUCAACCUAGAGGGGCCUGUCUAACAAUCGAUAAUCCGCGAUAAACCCGACCUCUUCUAGCCCCAGUAGCCUAUAUACCGCCGUCGAAAGCACGUUUUAUGAAAAACGAAGCUAAAAAGUACUCACACUAGCACGUCAGGUCAAGGUGUAGCAUAUAAAGAGGAUAAGAUUGGCCACAGUCACACUAAUUAGCACUGAAAAGCGUAACAAUCAGAAUUUAGCAGUAAGGGUCACAACGAACAACACCCUGAAACCCGCCUCAAGCACGC